AUAGUCUACGAUAACGGAAGUGCGAACUGUGGGUCGCGCUCUAGCCCUUUUCUCUGGCCAAUCCUGGAGGGGCGCUUCUGCGCGUGCGCGGGUAGUGACGGUUGCCCGAAGCGAUGCUGGCUUUGGCUCUUCCCGCUUGCCGUCGGACUUCGCUUUUGAGGACUCUUGCUGGAGUUGCUGUGAGGGGCCGGGGCGGUGGGGCCAUGCCCCGAAAGGGAAAAGCACAGAGUAAGGACAUAGUGAAGCCUCCUGUUCCUUCAGGCCCUGUGGCAACAGAUAAAAGUGGUUCCGUCACCAUCUCUGUUCAUGCCAAACCUGGAUCUAAACUAAAUGCUGUCACAGACCUGACAACAGAAGCAGUGAGUGUGGCCAUUGCUGCACCUCCGUCUGAAGGAGAGGCCAACGCAGAGUUAUGUCGUUACCUCUCAAAGGUCCUUGGAGUUAAGAAGAGUGAGGUUGUAUUAGAGAAGGGUGGCAAAUCUCGAGAAAAAAUAGUGAAGGUUUUGGCGCCAGUGACUCCCGAUGAAGUUCUAGAGAAGCUGAGAAAAGAAGCUGCCAGCUGAGACCGGUCCAAAGCAGCAGAAUGAGCAAUGCUCCUUUCUCUGGAAACCCACGGCACGAAGACCGAGCUCACAGCUGACAGUCAAGGCAUCAGCAGCUGUAUCCAGCCGGGGACUCGUUCGGUCAGUUUGACUCCGCUAAUUUCUGCUUCAUCAGGAUGCUCCACUUUUGCCCAGGCACCUCGCUUCUCAAAGCAGGGGGCCUCUCCUGCGAAGCUAUUUCAAGCCCAAGGACAUCUGGAAGUCUAGUCUUCACUCUGAACUCUAACAUGGGGAACAAAGCGGGCCUCCCCCAGAAAUGCAAUUUGUCUUUUCGAUGCCCCCAAUAGAAUUGAUUUUCUAGUGCCACCACUGGCUGCUGAGGAGUGACGUGGCUAACCAGCAGUGCAUCGUGGUAUUUAUGAUCAUGGCCAGCAGGGUUUUUUUCUGCAUCCUGCUGAGGAGAUAGAUAGAAAUGGCAUGGAAAAGCCCUCAGCUUCCCACACAAAUGAGCUUAUCAGAUAAACUGUAAAACAGAAGGGUUUCUGCCCCCCAUGAAACAACGCUGCGUCAGCAAAUACCAGACCACAAAACAACUGAGGAAAUUACAGGUUAAGUAUUCUGUGUUGCAUGCUAUCUAUACUAUUUUUACAUGCAAAUGCUUGGGGUUGUGAAAGAAAACUACUAGGAGCCAAAGGAAGGUUGUCAAGACAACUAUCAAUUAUGUUUAUGAAAAGGCAGUAAUUAAAAUAGCCACUGUAUUUCAAUAGUCAAGAUGGAGAAAAGCAGGAUUCAGAGUGUCCUGAACCCACCCCCACUUCAAAUAAUAAUAAAAAAGGUAGAACUAAUUCAGAUGUCGAUUCACUUUGGGACGGCAUAGAAUGCUUUCAGAAAACCAAGCACACCAAACAAUUUUGGAAUAGUACAUCCUAUUAUGAAUGGAACAAGCAAAGUCGGACCAGUUAAUUAGGACUGUCAUUUCUGACCUGCACAAGGGUCUUAGGCCCAGGUACAGAAUGCUGAACCAGUUUCCCCUAGAGUGUGGCCUUCAGGAGGCAUCAGAGAAUCCACACAGGUGAGAAACAGUAUACAUGCUUGGAAUGUGGUUAAAAACUUGUUUCAGGUCUGUUCUUAUUGCUCAUGAGAGAAUCCACACAGAAGACAAGCCGCACAAGUGCUCAGACUGGGAAAAGCUUCAGCCAGAGGGUGCAACUUAAUAGUCACCAGAGAAUCCACACCAGAGAGAAACCAUUUCAGUGUUCACAGUGUGGGAAAAGCUUCAGCCUGAGAUCAGUUUUGGUGACCUAUGAAAACACCCACACUUUAGACAAGCCGCACAGGUGUGUAGAGUGUGGGGAAAGCUUCAGUAACAAAUCUCAGCUUACAAACCAUCAGAGGCUGCAUACAGGAGAUAAACCUUAUAAGUGUUUUGUCUGUGAGAAAAGAUUUAACUUGAGUUCUCUCCUUACUGGUCACGGUAAGGAACCAAAGUGUAUGUAACCCACACGGGAGAAAAACCGUAUAAAUGCUCACACUACGAGAAGAGCUUCAGCAGUAGGUCCACCCUUGUAGCGCAUGAGAGAACCCAUACGGGAGAGAAGCCGCACAAGUGUUCAGACUGUGGGGAAAGUUUCAGCCAAAAAAACAAACCUCAACAGUCACCAGAGAAUCCACACCGGAGAGAAGCUGCAUACAUGCUCAGACUGUGGGAGAGGAUUCAGUCAGAAAUCACACCUCCUGAAUCAUCAGAGACACCACAUGGGAGAGAAACCCUUUCGGUGCUCUUGCUGCAAUAAAAGCUUUAGCACCAAGUUGACCCUGGUGGUGCAUGAGAAAACCCAUACAGGAGAAAAGCUUCAUGUAUGCAAAGGUUGCGGGGAAACCUUUAGUUGGGAAGCACAUCUUGUUAGGCAUGAGAGAACCCAUGUGCCAGAUGAAGCAUUCUUAGGACUAGGUCAGUAGAACAGUUUCUGUGUGACCAGAGACUGUUCUAGAGAAGAGAAGCAUACUGUAAAUAAACUCUAUAAAUCUUUACUAUCGGACAAACCCUAAUGAACAGCCCGGUCCUGUACACGUUUGUUGGGAGUAAAUCCCAUUGUACUUGAUGGGAGUUCAUGAUGAACCACUCAGUAAAAAUAUUAACUCAAAGUUGCCCCUAACUGUACUUAACUGGAGAUGCUGUUAACUGCAAAGCAUACAGGAGUAAAUCCAGAGAGCAAACAGUAAAAAGCUAAAAUAAACCCAGAGUAGUAUAUCCUUUCACUUUGAUAAGCCACCUAAUGGCGCAGCAGGGAAGCAACCUGCCUAGAGAACAGGAGGCUGUUGGUUCAAAUCCCCGCUGGUGUGUUGCCUGGAAUAUGGGAAACUCCUAUAUCGGGCAGCAGCGAUAUAGGAAGAUACUAAAAGGCAUCAUCUCAUACUGCGUGAGAGGUGGCAAUGGUAAACGCCUCCUGUAUUCUACCAAGAAACCCACAGGGCUCUGUGGGCGCCAGGAGUCGACACUGACUAGACAGCACAGCCAACCAGCCCAUUAUCCUUUCGUCUCCAGAGGCUUCUAUUGCCACCUCUCUGUACUAUCCUACACAGAAACAUCGGAAGUUGCCUUAUACCGAGUCAGACCCUUGGUCCAUCUAGCUCAGUAAUGUCUACACUGACUGGCAGCAGUUCUCCAAGAUUUCAGGCAGGAGUCUUUUCAGAGAUGUGGGGUGGACAUUUUCACCAUACUUAGUUUUUUUCCUAGAGAGUCUUGAAAAUUUGCACAGUAAUUUUUUUUAAAGGAAAAAACCAAUGCAUUUUAUGCAAACAGGAGAUAAAUCAGCAUAGAAAAAAUGGCAAAUUAAUUUUUUGCCCAGAAAGCCCAGAUUUCUGUGUGUCUCCCAGUGCUACCUGGAGAUGCUGCCAGGGUUGAACCCUGGGCCCUUCGGCAUGCCAAGCAGAUGGUCCACCAUUGAGCGAUGGCACCAUCCCCAUCACCCUGCUGCGCAUGACAACCUGAAGUUCUCUUCAUGAUUCACGUACAGUUAAGCAGCACCUCUCUCGGCUUAUUGUGGGCACAGCCUGCAGACGGGGAACCUGGAGAAGAGCAGGCCACGGGAUCACAAGAUGCGAAAAGGUCUCAUGUCCCAACACUCCAGCAGCAUGCCCUGCGAGGGCCAGCAGGGAGAAGAGUGCAAAGCCUUCAGUAAAAGCCUAUGGAGAUCUCUUCUGUGCACACUUGUGGGGAGGAAACACCACUACUUUAAUA
Hemicordylus capensis (graceful crag lizard) is the source of this 3783-nucleotide RNA transcript. It is a transcript of the gene named chromosome 10 C15orf40 homolog, with no coding region annotated. NCBI's taxonomy places the organism in Eukaryota, Metazoa, Chordata, Lepidosauria, Squamata, Cordylidae. The transcript is spliced from 8 exons. The record is from RefSeq and is a predicted model, not a curated record.